Molecule: ribosomal RNA, 277 nt
Filed under: uncultured bacterium
Lineage: Bacteria
Description: partial 16S ribosomal RNA
Rfam family: Bacterial small subunit ribosomal RNA
Source: RNAcentral
GAUGAACGCUAGCGGCAGGCCUAAUACAUGCAAGUCGAGGGGUAACGCGUGUAGCAAUACAUGGCGACGACCGGCGAACGGGUGCGUAACACGUAUGGAACCUGCCCUUUACACGGGGAUAGCCCUCGGAAACGAGGAUUAAUACCCGAUAGGUUAUGCUAAGGCAUCUUGGCAUAAUGAAAGCUGAGGCGGUAAAGGAUGGCCAUGCGUCCGAUUAGUUAGUUGGUGAGGUAAUGGCUCACCAAGACGAUGAUCGGUAGGGGAUGUGAGAGCAUGA